UCCCUGGUGGCUGAGAGGGUAAAGCAUCUGCCUGCAACGUGGGAGACCUGGGUUCGAUCCCUGGGUUGGGAA
Molecule: transfer RNA, 72 nt
Filed under: Ovis aries (sheep)
Lineage: Eukaryota; Metazoa; Chordata; Mammalia; Artiodactyla; Bovidae
Rfam family: tRNA
About the family: Transfer RNA (tRNA) molecules are approximately 80 nucleotides in length. Their secondary structure includes four short double-helical elements and three loops (D, anti-codon, and T loops). Further hydrogen bonds mediate the characteristic L-shaped molecular structure. tRNAs have two regions of fundamental functional importance: the anti-codon, which is responsible for specific mRNA codon recognition, and the 3' end, to which the tRNAs corresponding amino acid is attached (by aminoacyl-tRNA synthetases). tRNAs cope with the degeneracy of the genetic code in two manners: having more than one tRNA (with a specific anti-codon) for a particular amino acid; and 'wobble' base-pairing, i.e. permitting non-standard base-pairing at the 3rd anti-codon position.
Source: Rfam by way of RNAcentral